RNAcentral lists this ribosomal RNA (484 nucleotides) under uncultured bacterium. RNAcentral describes it as "partial 16S ribosomal RNA". It matches the Rfam family "Bacterial small subunit ribosomal RNA", at positions 899 to 1397 of the family's 1533-position model. The record is from RNAcentral.
ACUCAAAGGAAUUGACGGGGACCCGCACAAGCGGUGGAUGAUGUGGUUUAAUUCGAUGCUACGCGAAGAACCUUACCAAGGCUUGACAUCCUAGGAAUCCGCUAGAAACAGUGGAGUGCCUUCGGGAACCUAGUGACAGGUGUUGCAUGGCCGUCGUCAGCUCGUGUCGUGAGAUGUUGGGUUAAGUCCCGCAACGAGCGCAACCCUUAUCGUCUGUUGUAAUUUCAGGCGAGACUGCCCGGGCCAACCGGGAGGAAGGUGGGGAUGAAGUCAGGUCAGCAUGGCCCUUACGCCUUGGGCUACACACGUCAUACAAUGGCCGGUACAACGCGAAGCCAACCCGCGAGGGGGAGCUAAUCGUACCAAAACCGGUCCCAGUUCGGAUUGAAGGCUGCAACUCGCCUCCAUGAAGUCGGAAUCGCUAGUAAACGUGGGUCAGCAUACCACGUUGAAUACGUUCCCGGGUCUUGUACACACCGCCCGU